UGCCUCUUUCUCUCUAACAGAGACUCGCUCAGCGGCAGAGAGCCCUUCAAUUCCAGCAGAGAGGGCAGACUGUCAUCCGAGCUCGGCCCAUCCUGCUGUCUGCGCUCUCCAGAGAGCGUGCUUGAUCCUGAUAAACAGACUGCGAGCCAGGCAUGUGACUGAACGUGACUGAACUUCUUAAGGGAAAUAGAAGACAUAAAGGCGCCCCUCCCACACCCUCACAGCAGAAUUUGUCAGGCAGGGCCAUCCUCUCAAUGGGGAUGAUGCUUUUCCAAAAGCCUGCCUUUCAGACUGUCUGAAGUGAGAUAGAGGGUACUUACUGUUAUCGUUGUGUGGCACGAGGCCCUUCAGGUUGCCUUAGCUGAUGUCAUUCAUCUGCCAGGCCCCUCUCUUGGGAUUCAGUAUCAUCUAGAAGCUGUCUCCUGAAUGAUGUGCUACCCCGCUAGGAACUGCAGACAAAGAUACUGUCUGUGUUAGUUACUUCCUCAUAGCUCUGACCACACGUCAGACUAUCCCAGCAUCCUCAAGA
Molecule: long non-coding RNA, 529 nt
Filed under: Mus musculus (house mouse)
Lineage: Eukaryota; Metazoa; Chordata; Mammalia; Rodentia; Muridae
Description: predicted gene 27230
Source: RNAcentral